This 1358-nucleotide unclassified non-coding RNA is filed under the name Neodiprion pinetum (white pine sawfly). RNAcentral describes it as "ubiquitin-conjugating enzyme E2-22 kDa, transcript variant X4". The record is from RNAcentral. Lineage: Eukaryota; Metazoa; Arthropoda; Insecta; Hymenoptera; Diprionidae.
UUCUACUUUUCGUCUUUUCCUAUCAAUGUGGCGCUAGCUGUGAUCGAAUGACAAAUUGUAUGUAACCGCCAGCGGUUAUUUGGGUAAAAAAAAUACAGGUUGCAACAACAGUACAUGAAUUAAAAGAGCUGUUUAAAUCGAGGUAAAUACUGGCAUCCGUACAUUCGGCGGUAAAUUAUGUCAGUGUAUUGAGUAGCUGGGAGUGAUAGGGAGACAUGGCGAACAUUGCGGCGCAACGAAUCAAACGGGAGUUCAAAGAGGUUAUAAAAAGCGAAGAGGUGGCAAAAUGUGCGAUUAAGGUAGAACUAGUAAAUGAUAGCUUCACGGAAUUAAAGGGUGAAAUAGCAGGACCACCCGACACUCCAUAUGAAGGUGGCAAUUUCGUGUUAGAGAUAAAAGUACCUGAAACGUAUCCAUUCAAUCCACCCAAAGUUCGUUUUAUCACAAAAAUAUGGCAUCCAAAUAUAUCCUCGGUUACAGGCGCCAUAUGUUUGGACAUAUUAAAAGACCAAUGGGCUGCUGCGAUGACCUUAAGAACAGUUUUGUUAUCGUUACAAGCCUUAUUGUCAGCUGCUGAGCCUGAUGAUCCACAAGACGCUGUGGUUGCUAAGCAGUAUAAGGAGCAGCCUGAAAUGUUUCGUCAGACUGCAAAACAUUGGACGUCUGUGUAUGCUGGUGGACCAGCUAAGAUGUCAGAUCUCGAUGACAAGAUAAGAAGAUUGACUGAUAUGGGGAUCGAAGAACAUAAUGCACGAGUAGCCUUAUCCUCCUACAAUUGGGACUUAGAACGUGCCACCGAACAGCUAUUCAUGACGCUUAUGGCGAAAAAUUGAACAUAGCUAUUUAAUGAAAAUAUAUUUCUUAGAAAACUUGGAGUGUAAGACGGCAGUGUGGUACGACAGGAUAUCGCAUGGUCGGUCCCGUGCACGUUUGCUAAGUGAUGUUGUAUACGUUUCACGUAAUGGAACAUUUGAUUAAUUUAAUCUACAUCCUAUCUUACUUCGAUUGUAAUUCUAAGAGUAAAGUUCUAUUGCCAGGUGUGAAAUCUUACCUGCAUACGAUGUACUCCAAUUAAUUGAAAAUUGAUAGUUAUGUUUCAUAAUAUUUCAUGCAUUUUUCAAUCAUUCACAAUGUGCAGGCUGUGUCUGAAGUGUCGCCAGCAAGAGUCAAGGUCCAACUACUCGCAAACCAGUUUGUUAACUUGGGACAAAUGGUUGGGAUCUGUGAAUUUGAAUUUACAGGAAAACAAAAAAAAAACUCUGCUCUGUUCAUAUUGGGAAAUUUAGGAUUUAUACCAUUUAAUAAGAUCAAUGUACAUUAAUAGGCCUCAAAUAUUAAUAAAAGUAAUUUUUUUUCAA